UAGCUAGUUGGUGAGGUAAAGGCUUACCAAGGCGACGAUCUGUAGCGGGUCUGAGAGGAUGAUCCGCCACACUGGAACUGAGACACGGUCCAGACUCCUACGGGAGGCAGCAGUGGGGAAUUUUGGACAAUGGGGGCAACCCUGAUCCAGCCAUGCCGCGUGAGUGAAGAAGGCCUUCGGGUUGUAAAGCUCUUUCGGCCGGGAAGAAAUCGCAUGGGCCAAUACCCUGUGUGGAUGACGGUACCGGAAUAAGAAGCACCGGCUAACUACGUGCCAGCAGCCGCGGUAAUACGUAGGGUGCGAGCGUUAAUCGGAAUUACUGGGCGUAAAGCGUGCGCAGGCGGUUUUGUAAGACAGGCGUGAAAUCCCCGGGCUUAACCUGGGAACUGCGUUUGUGACUGCAAGGCUAGAGUACGGCAGAGGGGGGUGGAAUUCCACGUGUAGCAGUGAAAUGCGUAGAGAUGUGGAGGAACACCAAUGGCGAAGGCAGCCCCCUGGGACGAUACUGACGCUCAUGCACGAAAGCGUGGGUAGCAAACAGGAUUAGAUACCCUGGUAGUCCACGCCCUAAACUAUGUCAACUAGGUGUUGGGUGGGUAAACCAUUUAGUACCGUAGCUAACGCGUGAAGUUGACCGCCUGGGGAGUACGGCCGCAAGGUUAAAACUCAAAGGAAUUGACGGGGACCCGCACAAGCGGUGGAUGAUGUGGAUUAAUUCGAUGCAACGCGAAAAACCUUACCUACCCUUGACAUGCCAGGAACUUGCCAGAGAUGGCUUGGUGCCCGAAAGGGAGCCUGGACACAGGUGCUGCAUGGCUGUCGUCAGCUCGUGUCGUGAGAUGUUGGGUUAAGUCCCGCAACGAGCGCAACCCUUGUCGUUAAUUGCCAUCAUUUGGUUGGGCACUUUAACGAGACUGCCGGUGACAAACCGGAGGAAGGUGGGGAUGACGUCAAGUCCUCAUGGCCCUUAUGGGUAGGGCUUCACACGUCAUACAAUGGUCGGUACAAAGGGUUGCCAAGCCGCGAGGCGGAGCCAAUCCCAGAAAGCCGAUCGUAGUCCGGAUUGCAGGCUGCAACUCGCCUGCAUGAAGUCGGAAUCGCUAGUAAUCGUGGAUCAGCAUGUCACGGUGAAUACGUUCCCGGGUCUUGUACACACCGCCCGUCACACCAUGGGAGCGGGUUCCGCCAGAAGUAGGUAGCCUAACCGCAAGGGGGGCGCUUACCACGGCGGGGUUCGUGACUGGGGUGAAGCCGUAACAAGGUAGCCGUAGGGGAACCUGCGGCUG
Molecule: ribosomal RNA, 1286 nt
Filed under: metagenome
Description: bacterial SSU rRNA
Rfam family: Bacterial small subunit ribosomal RNA
Source: RNAcentral